GACGAACGCUGGCGGCGUGCUUAACACAUGCAAGUCGAACGGAAAGGCCCUGCUUUUGUGGGGUGCUCGAGUGGCGAACGGGUGAGUAACACGUGAGUAACCUGCCCUUGACUUUGGGAUAACUUCAGGAAACUGGGGCUAAUACCGGAUAGGAUCUCCUGCUGCAUGGUGGGGGUUGGAAAGUUUCGGCGGUUGGGGAUGGACUCGCGGCUUAUCAGCUUGUUGGUGGGGUAGUGGCUUACCAAGGCUUUGACGGGUAGCCGGCCUGAGAGGGUGACCGGCGACAUUGGGACUGAGAUACGGCCCAGACUCCUACGGGAGGCAGCAGUGGGGAAUAUUGCACAAUGGGCGGAAGCCUGAUGCAGCAACGCCGCGUGCGGGAUGACGGCCUUCGGGUUGUAAACCGCUUUCGCCUGUGACGAAGCGUGAGUGACGGUACUGGGUAAAGAAGCACCGGCUAACUACGUG
This 468-nucleotide ribosomal RNA is filed under the name uncultured bacterium. Its description in RNAcentral is "partial 16S ribosomal RNA". It matches the Rfam family "Bacterial small subunit ribosomal RNA", at positions 28 to 507 of the family's 1533-position model. The record is from RNAcentral.